CUUCUUUCCCGCCUCGCUCCCCGGCUGGCGCUAACGCCCACCUCCCAACAGCGCCACCCGCUGGCGGAUAUCCUGCACCGCGGCUGCCCGCUCCUGCGCCGCUGGCUGCGCCGGCGCUGCGUGGUGUGCCAGGCACCCGAGACGCCCGAGUCCUACGUGUGCCGGACGCUGGACUGCGAGGCCGUGUACUGCUGGUCGUGCUGGGACGACAUGCGGCAGCGGUGCCCGGUCUGCACGCCCCGCGAGGAGCUCUCUUCCUCCGCCUUUAGUGACAGCAACGACGACACUGCCUACGCGGGGUAAAGAGGCGUCCUGCUCGCUCUUCCGCUCCGUCCUUCCCGGUUAAUAAAAUGCCCUGUGGCACCGAGGAGCAGCAGGCAGAGUCAGAGAAGGCCCCGAGGGAGCCCUUGGAGCCCCAGGUCCUUCAGGACCUCAAAAAGGUGCUUCAGACCAGUCUGCCUGAGCCCCUGAGGAUCAAGUUGGAGCUGGACGGUGACAGUCAUAUCCUGGAGCUGCUACAGAAUAGAGAGUUGGUCCCAGGCCGUCCAACCCUGGUGUGGUACCAGCCCGAUGGCACUCGGGUGGUCAGUGAGGGACACACUCUGGAGAACUGCUGCUACCAGGGAAGAGUGCAGGGAUAUGCAGGCUCCUGGGUGUCCGUCUGCACCUGCUCUGGGCUCAGAGGCUUGGUGGUCCUGACCCCAGAGAGAAGCUAUACCCUGGAGCAGGAGCCUGGGGACCUUCAGGGUCCUCCCAUUAUUUCGCGAAUCCAAGAUCUCCACCUGCCAGGCCACACCUGUGCCCUGAGCUGGCAGGAAUCUGUAUACACUCAGACUCCACCAGAGCACCCCCUGGGACAGCGCCACAUUCGCCGGAGGCGGGAUGUGGUAACAGAGACCAAGACUGUGGAGUUGGUGAUUGUGGCUGAUCACUCGGAGGUGAGCCUGCUGGCCCCUGCACAUGCUCCUCCCCCUGCACUGCCCCGCCGCCUUUCGUGUCACCUCUCUUGGCCUACAGGUCCAGAAAUACCGGGACUUCCAGCACCUGCUAAACCGCACAUUGGAAGUGGCCCUCUUGCUGGACACAGUGAGUGCUGGACAGGGCAGCCCCCACCCCAGGCCCCUGACCAUGACAACCCCUCUUCUGAGCCCCAGCUGUCUUUCAGUUCUUCCGGCCCCUGAAUGUACGAGUGGCACUAGUGGGCCUGGAGGCCUGGACCCAGCGUGACCUGGUGGAGAUCAGCCCAAACCCAGCUGUCACCCUCGAAAACUUCCUCCACUGGCGCAGGGCACAUUUGCUGCCUCGAUUGCCCCACGACAGUGCC
This 1324-nucleotide small RNA is filed under the name Pongo abelii (Sumatran orangutan). RNAcentral describes it as "processed transcript". Lineage: Eukaryota; Metazoa; Chordata; Mammalia; Primates; Hominidae. The record is from RNAcentral.